RNAcentral lists this ribosomal RNA (534 nucleotides) under uncultured bacterium. RNAcentral's name for it is "partial 16S ribosomal RNA". It matches the Rfam family "Bacterial small subunit ribosomal RNA", at positions 355 to 902 of the family's 1533-position model. The record is from RNAcentral.
UGGGGAAUAUUGGACAAUGGGCGCAAGCCUGAUCCAGCCAUGCCGCGUGAGUGAUGAAGGCCUUAGGGUUGUAAAGCUCUUUCGCCGGUGAAGAUAAUGACGGUAACCGGAGAAGAAGCCCCGGCUAACUUCGUGCCAGCAGCCGCGGUAAUACGAAGGGGGCUAGCGUUGCUCGGAAUCACUGGGCGUAAAGCGCACGUAGGCGGAUCGUUAAGUCAGGGGGUGAAAUCCUGGAGCUCAACUCCAGGAACUGCCCUUGAUACUGGCGAUCUCGAGUUCGAGAGAGGUUGGUGGAACUCCGAGUGUAGAGGUGAAAUUCGUAGAUAUUCGGAAGAACACCAGUGGCGAAGGCGGCCAACUGGCUCGAUACUGACGCUGAGGUGCGAAAGCGUGGGGAGCAAAACAGGAUUAGAUACCCUGGUAGUCCACGCCGUAAAACGAUGGAUGCUAGCCGUUGGGGGGUUUACCUCUCAGUGGCGCAGCUAACGCCUUAAGCAUCCCGCCUGGGGAGUACGGUCGCAAGAUUAAAAACUC